GGGGCUGACCGGUUUUGACAGCAAGGAGGGGGAUUUGUAAGCAUGCAGGCUCACGCAUCAGCAGCCUUGAAAACCGAUGCAGAAAGAUAAUAGGCGAAAAUAACUACGCUCUUGCUGCCUAACCGAAGUACAGUAGGUUACUGGCUUAAUCCCCGCAACAGUUGUGGGGACAAGACAUCUCCCACCGACCCAGCCCGUCGGUCGGUGACCCGGAGGUGCUCGUGAGAACGGGAUAGUCGGCGGUUCGCUCCGCGCUGCCGAUGAACUUUUAGGAGCUACGGCCUGCCUUGGGUGCCCGUGUCCGGAGCAGUCCCGACAAUCAACCGCGGAAUAAGCAUGUAGAAAGCACAUCUGUCACUUGUUUGGACGAGGGUUCGACUCCCUCCAGCUCCACA
Molecule: transfer-messenger RNA, 395 nt
Filed under: bovine gut metagenome
Rfam family: transfer-messenger RNA
About the family: Bacterial tmRNA, also known as 10Sa RNA or SsrA, is named for its dual tRNA and mRNA-like properties. Its role is to liberate the mRNA from a stalled ribosome. To accomplish this part of the tmRNA is used as a reading frame that ends in a translation stop signal.
Source: RNAcentral